CAGCCGCCGCGGGAAUACGUAGGUCCCGAGCGUUGUCCGGAUUUAUUGGGCGUAAAGCGAGCGCAGGCGGUUUGAUAAGUCUGAAGUUAAAGGCUGUGGCUCAACCAUAGUUCGCUUUGGAAACUGUUUAACUUGAGUGCAGAAGGGGAGUGUGGAAUUCCAUGUGUAGCGGUGAAAUGCGUAGAUAUAUGGAGGAACACCGGUGGCGAAAGCGGCUCUCUGGUCUGUAACUGACGCUGAGGCUCGAAAGCGUGGGGAGCAAACAGGAUUAGAGACCCCUGUAGUCCCUGUCUCUUAUACC
This 301-nucleotide ribosomal RNA is filed under the name uncultured bacterium. Its description in RNAcentral is "partial 16S ribosomal RNA". It matches the Rfam family "Bacterial small subunit ribosomal RNA", at positions 509 to 808 of the family's 1533-position model. The record is from RNAcentral.